RNAcentral lists this small RNA (385 nucleotides) under Oryza sativa Japonica Group (Japanese rice). Its description in RNAcentral is "sRNA Os05g0155450". The record is from RNAcentral. Lineage: Eukaryota; Viridiplantae; Streptophyta; Magnoliopsida; Poales; Poaceae.
CUAGCCAUGUAGUAGUGUGGGUGAAGAUGAGGACAAGGCCAUGAGCAAGAUUGCAGCCUCCUCCACUCCCAUCAGGACCCUCCUUUUCUUCACCACUUGGAGGCUGCUGCUUUUGUUGCUACUGCUGCUGCUACUGUCUUUUACUGAACUUGCUGCAUCACUGUGAUCUUCUUGUUGCUGUUGCUGUUGCUGCCGCUGAUACUGCUGCUGCUGUUGUUGAUGAUGAUGAGGAUGAUGUUCUUGUUGCUGCUUCUUGUCUAGGCCUAGCUCUUGCCUCCUCUUCUUCCUGUACCGGAUCCCGCACGCAUUGCAAAGCGACUGCAAUCAAACCAAAAAAAGAAUAGUUCAGUGCUCAUCCAGAGGCUUAGUUCUUUUCAGAUUUUUC